This 501-nucleotide ribosomal RNA is filed under the name uncultured bacterium. RNAcentral describes it as "partial 16S ribosomal RNA". It matches the Rfam family "Bacterial small subunit ribosomal RNA", at positions 30 to 523 of the family's 1533-position model. The record is from RNAcentral.
AUUGAACGCUGGCGGCAGGCUUAACACAUGCAAGUCGAGCGGGGGGAGGUAGCUUGCUACCGGACCUAGCGGCGGACGGGGGAGUAAUGCUUAGGAAUCUGCCUAUUAGUGGGGGACAACAUCUCGAAAGGGAUGCUAAUACCGCAUACGUCCUACGGGAGAAAGCAGGGGAUCUUCGGACCUUGCGCUAAUAGAUGAGCCUAAGUCGGGUUAGCUGGUUGAUGGGGUAAAGGCCUACCAAGGCGACGAUCUGUAGCGGGUCUGAGAGGAUGAUCCGCCACACUGGGACUGAGACACGGCCCAGACUCCUACGGGAGGCAGCAGUGGGGAAUAUUGGACAAUGGGGGGAACCCUGAUCCAGCCAUGCCGCGUGUGUGAAGAAGGCCUUAUGGUUGUAAAGCACUUUAAGCGAGGAGGAGGCUACUCUAGUUAAUACCUAGGGAUAGUGGACGUUACUCGCAGAGUAAGCACCGGCUAACUCUGUGCCAGCCGCCGCGGUAA